Podarcis lilfordi (Lilford's wall lizard) is the source of this 67-nucleotide non-coding RNA. The record is from the annotation of a GenBank genome assembly. Lineage: Eukaryota; Metazoa; Chordata; Lepidosauria; Squamata; Lacertidae.
GCAGCUCAGCUGGCAGGGCGCAUGCCUUGCAUGCAGAAGGUCCCAGGUUCAAUCCCUGGCAUCUCCA